AAAGAACUAGAGAAGCAAGACAAAACCCCAAAGCUAGAGGAAGACAAGAAAUAACUGAAAAUCUGAGCUGAACUGAAAGAAACCGAGACAUGAAAAAAAGAAAUUCAAAAGAUCUAUGAAUUCCGGUUUCUCCACAGACACUACCCAAAGCAGUGCUUCACUACAGUGGCAGACAGACCUGAAAAUUUUCAUCUGAAGCAGCAGAGUGAACUGCAGAGGCAGGUCACCAACCAGUGUGGAGGCUAAAAGCGGGCCUCUUUGGGGAUUCCAGGUGGAAGUGUUGGACAUCUGUAGUAUUCCUGGUCUCGAAUCAUCCUGAUAUUCUUCAUUUUGUUAUUCACAUUGGACUAGGGAACAAAGAUCACCACAACUGGCUCCCCUUCAACUAUGUUAGAUGGCAACUUGCCUUCAGUAUGGUGAAACACAUCAGUUAAGACCGGGGUUGUGCAUGGCAGGACUUUCUACAAGGACACCCAGUCUCCUUAAUAAACAUGAGAUGCUCUCUUUCCAGAAUUUCUCUUGCCUGACACAGCAUAGGAAGAUGCUGAACGGCCACACAGUGAUCCAUUG
Molecule: long non-coding RNA, 570 nt
Organism: Homo sapiens (human)
Lineage: Eukaryota; Metazoa; Chordata; Mammalia; Primates; Hominidae
Gene: APPAT
Product: atherosclerotic plaque pathogenesis associated transcript
Source: Ensembl